Rosa rugosa (rugosa rose) is the source of this 1799-nucleotide long non-coding RNA. RefSeq lists it as uncharacterized. Lineage: Eukaryota; Viridiplantae; Streptophyta; Magnoliopsida; Rosales; Rosaceae. The transcript is spliced from 2 exons. The record is from RefSeq and is a predicted model, not a curated record.
CGAACUGAGGAUUGGGGUUCUCUAUUUCCCUUUCUCUUCCAGCGUCCUUCUUCCUUCUUUCUUCUUGGUCAGAGGCGCUCAGAUUAUUUGCUUCUUCUUUUUUUCUUCUUUUGUUGUCAUUUUUCUUCUUUCUCUAUCUUUUACUUCCUCAUCUCUCCUCCAGUCGCUCUCACCCUCAAAAACCAGAUCGAAAAACAUACCAAACACCAAACAACCAAAUCUGAAUCGUACCUUCGCCAUCCGUUUCGUCAUCCUUCUCUCUCAGCCUCUCACAUCCUGUUUCAUUUCCUAUGAAACCAAUCUUGGCCCAAAAUCCGUAAUACCCAAAUCAAAAAACCUAACACCUCAGCCCCAAAUACCUCCUCCAAUCACACGUGCUCUCUCGACUUCUUGCUUAGCAAUCAGUUGCUUGUCACACUCGAUUUCUGUUUAGCAAUCGAAAUCUUGUCGCUCGUUAGUAAAGCUUUGAAGAUAAGUUAUAGGUUUCUGGUAGUGAUUUGGCUUGAAAUCUGGUAGUGAUUUCAAUUCGCAGCAGUCAAUUUGAAGGUAUUGGAGUUCGAUUCGCAGCAGGCCAUUUGAAGGUAUUGGAGUUCGAUUCGCAGCAAGCCAUUUGAAGGUAUGAUUCCAAUUGAUUUCAUUAUAAAUCUGGGUUUGAGUUGUUCCGUUUGGAUAAAGUGAGUGUUAUGGUCCUUCUCGGUGUUUACAUGACCCUUGCAUUUGGGAGCUCGUGGUCUAUAUUUAUUAGGACUGUGUUGGUAGCUACCUUUGGUCUAGAAGCUGCACAGAAAUUCUUUCUGAAGAUGCUUAGGAGUGUUUUCUGCGCACCAAUGUCUUUCUUUGAUUCUACUCCUGCUGGACGGAUUUUGAAUUGUGUAAGUUUCUUAUUUAUCUUUCUUUGCUUUCUGCAUGCUUUUACUUGUGAGCUUUCCACAUGGAACCAUUGAUCCAAGUAAGUUCAUGUUUUCUAUUGCUGAAAGUUAUCUCUAUGUUAUCAUGAGGAACUGAGUGUGGUAAAAACAUGUUGAGGGAAGUGGUGAGUAAGUAUAUGUACACUUCUAUUUCACAGUGUACAGAAAAGAAUGAAAAUUCUUUAAACUAGAUGGUGCAAAUAAGAGUAUGACAUGUUAUCUUUUUCAUGUUGACAUUUUCCGUUUGGCAUGACUAUUAAUUAUAACUGAAUUAAAAUCUUUCAUUCUUUAAACUAGAUGGUGCUAAGAGUAUGACAUGUUAUCUUUUUCAUGUUGACAUUUUCCAUGACUAUUAAUUAUAACCGAAUUAAAAUCUAUGAGCUUAUAAUUUUGAACUAGCAAGUAUCCUAUCUUAUCUUGUUUUUAGCUCAAUUCAUUGUGGCCUUUUCAUUCAGUAUGACAUUUCAGUGUGCACUGUAGUGUAAAACGCUCAUUUUGCUAUGUGCCUCUUGUAUUAAUCAACAUAACAUUUUGUCAUUGGGAUUUCUCCAUUUUGUUAUUGCCUGCUCUUUGGAUAAUUAUCAUGUAGCUCAAGACUACAUAAUGAAGGUUCGAUGUUGGACAAGGAGUUCAGAAGUUCAAAGCGAGUGAUAAUGUUGUAGCAUUUCACCAUGUGAGAAGAGCCUCUGCUUCAGAAUUGGAAUGAACAGUAGUAGUAAGAGAAAAUGCUAACAACUGAAGCUGCUUUGUGUUAACUACUUGUUUCUAUGUACUUAUUAUGUCAAGAAAAUGUACUGAUGACUUGUACUGUACUUUUUAUGUCAAGAUAAUGUACUGAUGACUUGUACAUAUGGAGUUGCUAAUAUAGAUAUGUAACUGAUUCUUUGCCUA